GGGGAUAACGUUCGGAAACGACCGCUAAUCCGCAUACGUCCUACGGGGAAAGCAGGGGACCUUCGGCCCUUGCGCUAUCAGAUGAGCCUUAGGUCGGAUUAGCUAGUUGGUGAGGUAAUGGCUCACCAAGGCGACGAUCCGUAACUGGUCUGAGAGGAUGAUCAGUCUCACUGGAACUGAGACACGGUCCAGACUCCUACGGGAGGCAGCAGUGGGGAAUAUGGGACAAUGGGCGAAAGCCUGAUCCAGCCAUGCCGCGUGUGUGAAGAAGGUCUUCGGAUUGUAAAGCACUUUAAGUUGGGAGGAAGGGUUGUAGAUUAAUACUCUGCAAUUUUGACGUUACCGACAGAAUAAGCACCGGCUAACUCUGUGCCAGCAGCCGCGGUAAUACAGAGGGUGCAAGCGUUAAUCGGAAUUACUGGGCGUAAAGCGCGCGUAGGUGGUUUGUUAAGUUGGAUGUGAAAUCCCCGGGCUCAACCUGGGAACUGCAUUCAAAACUGACUGACUAGAGUAUGGUAGAGGGUGGUGGAAUUUCCUGUGUAGCGGUGAAAUGCGUAGAUAUAGGAAGGAACACCAGUGGCGAAGGCGACCACCUGGACUAAUACUGACACUGAGGUGCGAAAGCGUGGGGAGCAAAC
This 638-nucleotide ribosomal RNA is filed under the name uncultured bacterium. RNAcentral describes it as "bacterial SSU rRNA". It matches the Rfam family "Bacterial small subunit ribosomal RNA", at positions 139 to 773 of the family's 1533-position model. The record is from RNAcentral.